AAAUAUGGUCUUAUCACCCUGAACAUGCCUGAUCUCAUCUGAUCUUGGAAGCUAAGUAGGAUUAGGCCUGGUUAGUACUUGGUAGACAAAAUAAGAGAAAUUUUCUUAUAUUUC
Ribosomal RNA from Aotus nancymaae (Ma's night monkey), 114 nucleotides. The record is from Ensembl. Lineage: Eukaryota; Metazoa; Chordata; Mammalia; Primates; Aotidae.